Molecule: ribosomal RNA, 713 nt
Filed under: uncultured crenarchaeote
Lineage: Archaea; Thermoproteati; Thermoproteota
Description: bacterial SSU rRNA
Rfam family: Archaeal small subunit ribosomal RNA
Source: RNAcentral
CGAGUCAUUGUAGCAAUACAGGCAUACGGCUCAGUAACGCGUAGUCCACCUAACCUAUGGACGGGAAUAACCUCGGGAAACUGAGAAUAAUGCCCGAUAGAACAUUAUGCCUGGAAUGGUUUAUGUUCCAAAUGAUUUAUCGCCGUAGGAUGGGACUGCGGCCUAUCAGUUUGUUGGUGAGGUAAUGGCCCACCAAGACUAUUACAGGUACGGGCUCUGAGAGGAGUAGCCCGGAGAUGGGUACUGAGACACGGACCCAGGCCCUAUGGGGCGCAGCAGGCGAGAAAACUUUGCAAUGUGCGAAAGCACGACAAGGUUAAUCCGAGUGGUUUCUGCUAAAGAAACCUUUUGUCAGUCCUAGAAACACUGAUGAAUAAGGGGUGGGCAAGUUCUGGUGUCAGCCGCCGCGGUAAAACCAGCACCUCAAGUGGUCAGGAUGAUUAUUGGGCCUAAAGCAUCCGUAGCCGGCUCUGUAAGUUUUCGGUUAAAUCUGUACGCUCAACGUACAGGCUGCCGGGAAUACUGCAGAGCUAGGGAGUGGGAGAGGUAGACGGUACUCGGUAGGAAGGGGUAAAAUCCUUUGAUCUAUUGAUGACCACCUGUGGCGAAGGCGGUCUACCAGAACACGUCCGACGGUGAGGGAUGAAAGCUGGGGGAGCAAACCGGAUUAGAUACCCGGGUAGUCCCAGCUGUAAACUAUGCAAACUCAGUGA